GUUUGCUUAAAAAUCGACAUUCGUGC
Molecule: small RNA, 26 nt
Filed under: Bombyx mori (domestic silkworm)
Lineage: Eukaryota; Metazoa; Arthropoda; Insecta; Lepidoptera; Bombycidae
Description: ovarian small RNA-5522
Source: RNAcentral